UAUAUGGGGCAAGUUAUGGGAUCGAGACGCUUGUGCACGGUCGCAAUGCGUGAUGCUUUCGAGAUGCGGGCCCCUGAUUAUUACAGUUCUGUGCCAACAGAUAAUUUGGACAUUGCAUGCACUUUUUGAUGUUGCCUUAUUUAUAUGGACUUCAUUUUCCUUUUAAAUAAUAUCAAGGAUAUAAAUAGGUGUCGAGGCAUGGGGAAAAAAAGUGUGACGUUCAGUUCUCUGCGUCAAGAUGGCAAGGCCGGGUAUAAAAAGUGUUUUGUAGGGUAGUGUAGUAGUGUUGUAUAUAUCAUUGGUUUAAGUCAGAUGCGGUGGGAGGCCAGACUUUUUUUAUUCUCGUUUUAUGGGCCAGACAAGUCUUGGUAAAUAAAGAAAAUCAAAAUGCAACAUUAUUUAUUUGCCAUCCAUCCAAUUUUCUGCCAGAGAAAAGUUUUUUUUUUAAAGACUUAUGGCAAAUCUCUUACCAAGGAACUGUUAGAACUAUUCAAGGAAAAUAGCUUGGAAAUGUUCUUCUACCUCAUAAUGAGUGCAAGUAAUGUAACUAAAUUUCAAUCCACACAUUACAGUGAAAAAACUCUGCCCAAAAAACAUUCAAUAAAAAAGUAUGGCCUUGAGGGUUUACUCCUGGCUUGUUUAAUUACUUCUGCAAUGAUGUAAAAUUAUCUGUACUCCAUUCCUUGUUUUAGAAAGGCCAGUCUACAUUUUAAUGGCUACACAUGGUCUUAAAUCACAGAAUUUGAAGGUCUGGGACAUUUGAAGGAAAUUAUUUCUAGCUGUAAUAAGACAAGCAAAGUAUUCAUUGAAAUAAAAUUUUUAGUAUCUAAGGUUCACUCUUUCAGUAUCAUCAGUGACGAUUCAUGUUAAAAUUUUUAUUAUUAAUCUUCAUUUUUUCUUGUAUACAACAUUUUGAACUAUGACAAUAAAGUAAUCCAUUAAAGGAUA
Molecule: long non-coding RNA, 948 nt
Organism: Lingula anatina
Lineage: Eukaryota; Metazoa; Brachiopoda; Lingulata; Lingulida; Lingulidae
Source: RefSeq, a predicted model, not a curated record